RNAcentral lists this ribosomal RNA (997 nucleotides) under uncultured eukaryote. Its description in RNAcentral is "bacterial SSU rRNA". It matches the Rfam family "Eukaryotic small subunit ribosomal RNA", at positions 577 to 1674 of the family's 1831-position model. The record is from RNAcentral.
CGGUAAUUCCAGCUCCAGUAGCGUAUAUUAAAGUUGUUGCAGUUGAAACGCUCGUAGUCUGAAAUUAAUCCUUAUGGGGAGAACCGCUCACCCCACUUGCAUAUCGCCGGUGGUCAGUGACGGUCAUUCACCUUGAUGAAUCUAGAGUGUUCAAGGCAGGCUUUGCCUGAAUACUGCUGCAUGGAAUGAGAUUGAUAUUAUAUCCUCUCUCGGUCGGAGAGAUCAAAGUAUCUUAAGAAACAGUCGAGGGCAUUCGUACUUGUUCGCCAGAGGUGAAAUUCUAGGAUUGAACAAAGACGAACAAAAGCGAAAGCAUCUGCCAAGGAUGUUUCCUUUGAUCAAGAACGAAGGUCAAGGGAUCAAAGACGAUCAGAUACCGUCGUAGUCCUGACUGUAAACUAUGCCAACUAGAGCUUAAUUGAGCUAACAAAACUCAGUUAGGAUCUAGAGAGAAAUCAAAGUUUUUGGGUUCUGGGGGAAGUAUGGUCACAAGGCUGAAACUUGAAGGAAUUGACGGAAGGGCACCACCAGGCGUGGAGCUUGCGGCUUAAUUUGACUCAACGCGGGAAAACUUACCAGGUCAAAACAUGGCUAUGAUUGACAGGCUGAAAGUCCUUUCUCGAUUCCAUGGUUGGUGGUGCAUGGCCGUUCUUAGUUGGUGGACUGAUCAGUCUGGUUAAUUCCGGUAACGAACGAGACCUUGGCCUGCUAACUAGAUGAGUUUCAUUUGAAACUCUUCUUCUUAGAGGGACAAUGGUGGUUACAUCACUGAAGCUCGAGGUAAUAACAGGUCUGUUAUGCCCUUAGAUGUCCUGGGCCGCACGCGUGCUAUACUGACGCAUUCAGAAAGUUACUUGCUCGGAAGGGUUAGUUAAUCAACAAUAUGCGUCAUGUAGGGACAGUUCCUUGUAAUUGUGGAGCUCUAACGAGGAAUGCCUAGUAAGUGCAAGUCAACAUCUUGUACUGAUUACGUCCCUGCCCCUUGUACACACCGCCC